UACGUAGGGGGCGAGCGUUGUCCGGAUUUAUUGGGCGUAAAGAGCUCGUAGGCGGUUUGGUAAGUCGGGUGUGAAAUCUCCAGGCUCAACCUGGAGGGGUCAUUCGAUACUGCCAUGACUAGAGUUCGGUAGGGGUGUGUGGAAUUCCUGGUGGAGCGGUGAAAUGCGCAGAGAUCAGGAGGAACACCCGUAGCGAAGGCGGCACACUGGGCCGAUACUGACGCUGAGGAGCGAAAGCGUGGGGAGCGAACAGG
RNAcentral lists this ribosomal RNA (254 nucleotides) under uncultured Aciditerrimonas sp. Its description in RNAcentral is "partial 16S ribosomal RNA". It matches the Rfam family "Bacterial small subunit ribosomal RNA", at positions 524 to 776 of the family's 1533-position model. The record is from RNAcentral. Lineage: Bacteria; Bacillati; Actinomycetota; Acidimicrobiia; Acidimicrobiales; Acidimicrobiaceae.